AUUGAACGCUGGCGGAAUGCUUUACACAUGCAAGUCGAACGGUAGAGGGGGCAACCCCUCGAGAGUGGCGAACGGGUGAGUAAUAUAUCGGAACGUGCCCAGUCGUGGGGGAUAACGUAGCGAAAGUUACGCUAAUACCGCAUACGAUCUACGGAUGAAAGCGGGGGAUCGCAAGACCUCGCGCGAUUGGAGCGGCCGAUAUCAGAUUAGGUAGUUGGUGGGGUAAAGGCUCACCAAGCCAACGAUCUGUAGCUGGUCUGAGAGGACGACCAGCCACACUGGAACUGAGACACGGUCCAGACUCCUACGGGAGGCAGCAGUGGGGAAUAUUGCACAAUGGACGAAAGUCUGAUGCAGCAACGCCGCGUGGAGGAUGACACAUUUCGGUGCGUAAACUCCUUUUAUAUAGGAAGAUAAU
Molecule: ribosomal RNA, 418 nt
Filed under: uncultured bacterium
Lineage: Bacteria
Description: bacterial SSU rRNA
Rfam family: Bacterial small subunit ribosomal RNA
Source: RNAcentral